This 225-nucleotide ribosomal RNA is filed under the name Halomonas sp. ISL-60. RNAcentral describes it as "partial 16S ribosomal RNA". It matches the Rfam family "Bacterial small subunit ribosomal RNA", at positions 1 to 230 of the family's 1533-position model. Lineage: Bacteria; Pseudomonadati; Pseudomonadota; Gammaproteobacteria; Oceanospirillales; Halomonadaceae. The record is from RNAcentral.
AAACUGAAGAGUUUGAUCAUGGCUCAGAUUGAACGCUGGCGGCAGGCCUAACACAUGCAAGUCGAGCGGUAACAGAUCUAGCUUGCUAGAUGCUGACGAGCGGCGGACGGGUGAGUAAUGCAUAGGAAUCUGCCCGGUAGUGGGGGAUAACCUGGGGAAACCCAGGCUAAUACCGCAUACGUCCUACGGGAGAAAGGGGGCUCCGGCUCCCGCUAUUGGAUGAGC